CUCAGGCUGCGGGCUGCGGGUUGC
RNAcentral lists this non-coding RNA (24 nucleotides) under Cricetulus griseus (Chinese hamster). The record is from RNAcentral. Lineage: Eukaryota; Metazoa; Chordata; Mammalia; Rodentia; Cricetidae.